GACGAACGCUGGCGGCGUGCUUAACACAUGCAAGUCGAACGGAAAGACCCUGCUUUUGUGGGGUGCUCGAGUGGCGAACGGGUGAGUAACACGUGAGUAACCUGCCCUUGACUUUGGGAUAACUUCAGGAAACUGGGGCUAAUACCGGAUAGGAGCUCCUGCUGCAUGGUGGGGGUUGGAAAGUUUCGGCGGUUGGGGAUGGACUCGCGGCUUAUCAGCUUGUUGGUUGGGUAGUGGCUUACCAAGGCUUUGACGGGUAGCCGGCCUGAGAGGGUGACCGGCCACAUUGGGACUGAGAUACGGCCCAGACUCCUACGGGAGGCAGCAGUGGGGAAUAUUGCACAAUGGGCGGAAGCCUGAUGCAGCAACGCCGCGUGCGGGAUGACGGCAUUCGGGUUGUAAACCGCUUUCGCCUGUGACGAAGCGUGAAUGACGGUAAUGGGUAAAGAAGCACCGGCUAACUACGUG
This 468-nucleotide ribosomal RNA is filed under the name uncultured bacterium. RNAcentral's name for it is "partial 16S ribosomal RNA". It matches the Rfam family "Bacterial small subunit ribosomal RNA", at positions 28 to 507 of the family's 1533-position model. The record is from RNAcentral.